RNAcentral lists this ribosomal RNA (503 nucleotides) under uncultured bacterium. RNAcentral describes it as "bacterial SSU rRNA". It matches the Rfam family "Bacterial small subunit ribosomal RNA", at positions 38 to 518 of the family's 1533-position model. The record is from RNAcentral.
GGCGGCGUGCUUAACACAUGCAAGUCGAACGCGAAAGGGACUUCGGUCCUGAGUAAAGUGGCGCACGGGUGAGUAACGCGUAGAUAACCUGUCUUCAUGUCUGGAAUAAUAACGCCGAAAGGGGUACUAAUACCGGAUAUUCUUUGCUUUUCAUAAGUUAUGCAAGCAAAGGUGGCCUCUGCAUAUGCUACUGCAUGAAGAGGGGUCUGCGUACCAUUAGCUAGUAGGUGGGGUAAUGGCCUACCUAGGCGACGAUGGUUAGCGGGUCUGAGAGGAUGAUCCGCCACACUGGCACUGGAACACGGGCCAGACUCCUACGGGAGGCAGCAGUGAGGAAUAUUGCGCAAUGGGGGAAACCCUGACGCAGCGACGCCGCGUGAAGUGAGGAAGGCCUUCGGGUCGUAAAGCUCUGUCAAGAGGAAAGAAGUGUACAAUGGCUAAUACCUGUUGUAUUUGACGGUACCUCUAAAGGAAGCACCGGCUAACUCCGUGCCAGCAGCGGC